CGGGAAUAUUGGACAAUGGGGGCAACCCUGAUCCAGCAAUACCGCGUGUGUGAAGAAGGCCUGCGGGUUGUAAAGCACUUUCAGUUGGGAAGAUAAUGACGUUACCAACAGAAGAAGCACCGGCUAACUCCGUGCCAGCAGCCGCGGUAAUACGGAGGGUGCAAGCGUUAAUCGGAAUUACUGGGCGUAAAGCGUGCGUAGGCGGCCUGUUAAGUCAGAUGUGAAAGCCCCGGGCUUAACCUGGGAACUGCAUCGGAUACUGGGAGGCUAGAAUGUGGGAGAGGAGAGUGGAAUUUCCGGUGUAGCGGUGAAAUGCAUAGAGAUCGGAAGGAACACCAGUGGCGAAGGCGGCUCUCUGGACCAACAGUAACGCUGAGGCACGAAAGCGUGGGUAGCAAAC
Molecule: ribosomal RNA, 400 nt
Filed under: uncultured bacterium
Lineage: Bacteria
Description: bacterial SSU rRNA
Rfam family: Bacterial small subunit ribosomal RNA
Source: RNAcentral